Molecule: non-coding RNA, 39 nt
Filed under: Trypanosoma brucei brucei
Lineage: Eukaryota; Euglenozoa; Kinetoplastea; Trypanosomatida; Trypanosomatidae
Source: RNAcentral
ACGACACAAUAGAGAAAGAUACUCUGAGAGAUGUAAUAU